GUUAUACAUACAUGACAUAUUGACAUAACUAUAUAUUUUUGGAUUAUUAGUGGUGGAGUUUAUACAUGGGCCAAAUUUACCUGUUUUUUUUUCUGGCCGAGUUAACAUGCACCUCGGUAAGCGGGUAGUUUCUGUAGUAAAUUAUUUUAUGUAGUUGACACAUUGUAAAGAUUAAAAUUGAAAAUGUCUAGUACUUCCCGGGGUAUUUUUAAUAUUUUUAUUAAACAAUCGUUUGAAAAGAAAUAUUAAUUUUAAAGGUGAAUAUUUAUAGUACCUACUACCUAGUACAGUUAAUCAACAUUUUUGUUUAUAUAAUUUAUAGACUUAUAGUAUUAUCAUUAGUAUUAUAGUUAUUAGUACUAUUCACUUAAAUAUUUAAAUGUCAGUUUAUGUAAUUUAACAUUUUUUUAUACUUAAUUUUUGUUUUGUAAUUAAAUCAAAUACGAUAGGUCAAACAAAAUUCCAUAAACGUUUUGAAAAACAUUAUAGCAGUUUGCAUAUGUACCUAUGACACGUGUCUCUGUAAAGCACCUAUGCAAUAUACCAUAUAUAUUAUAUACAUUAUAUAUAACAUUAUACCUAUAGAUAAUGUAUGCUAUAUAAAUCAUAAAUGUGAUGAAAAUGGAAAUCUCUGUUACAUAUUUUCUCUGAAAUUACUCAUCCAAAUUACUUUUAUUUUAUUUUAUUAAAUACAAGUAUACUGUGGAUCAGAUGUUAAGCUUAUUUUUGAUUUUAGAAGUUAAUGAUAAUAGGUUAAUCUACGUAUUCGAGUUAUUAAUUUUUUUAAUAAUCUGAAAAUAUGUAAGUGCAUAAAGAUAUUAUUUUUUUUUCAUCCGUGUUACUAAUUAUUAGUUAUUAUUAGAAAUUAAUAUUUUAGUGAAUAGUAAAGUUUAUGUAGUACAAAACUGUUUUGUUGUUUUAGUUCACGGAAUAUUGAAACUAAUGAGUUGUUGAUUUUUUGGUCCAGAAUGAAAUCCUAAUUUGGGUCGUUCAACAAAAAAAAAAAAAAAAAACCAAAAGAGAAAAAGAAUUUAAAAAAAAAAUGCUGCUAUUAAAUUAUAAAAAAAAAAACAACGAUGGGCUAUUUCAGCUAUGUAAAGCUGAUGUCAGAAAUACCUAUCAUUUCUACAGUAAAUUAGAAAAGCCAAAAAUGUUAUACAUCCACACGCAUUAGCAUUAGGUAAUAGGUUACCAAAUUAACACGAAUGCAUUUUGUACGGGCAACGAAGAGCACAAAGAUAGUUAUAAUAGUAUUAGUAUACUAUAAUAAAAUUGUGUAUAAUAUUAUAUAGUAACAUAUUAUAGGUACAUAAUAUGCUUUCAAGGUGUACCUAUCCAUAUUCGUGUUGUGAAAUAAUGGCCAGUCCUUGAUGAGCAAUGUUGACCUAAAUUAUUUUUGUUAACUAAUACACUAAUAGUCUUUAGUCUUUUGAAGACAGUGAUAAAAUUUUUAAUACAACAAAAUAUGUUACACGUAAACUUUAAAUUUGAGAGAGCAGAAUGUAUAAAACGCAACUACCUACCUAAAUAUUUUGAAAAUACAAUUUACAUUUAAUUGUAAUUUUGUGCGUUUCAGUUAUAAAUACAUUUUUAUGUUUUUAACGUAAUUGUACAUAUUUUUUUUUACAUAUUUUGUGUAUGGUAACGGACGUAUACACAUCCGUGAUAUAUAUUUAUCUGUGUAGGUAUAGACAUAAUAGUAUGCUCAUCACCUAAAAACUGAGUUGUGAGUACAGUUAUUCCAAGCAAUCCAAACAUGAUGAGACAGACUUCUAUAUUACACCAUAUAAGGAACCGGAAUAAUAUUUUGAGGAUUUCCUUAUCAGUGCCCGUCAUUUUGUCGAUUGGCGAAACAUUGAUUAUUUAUCUAUACAUAUAGCUCUACAAAUUGAUUAUUAUUAAUAUUAUUAUGAAAUUAGGUACUAUAGAGUAAUGCCAGUGUCGUGUGUUGCUAAUGGUUACACUAAUAGGUAUCUCGUUGGACAACUAAUAUAUUUUUUCAGAUAUCUUUUAACUAAUGAACUGCUUACUAAGAAAUGGGUUGAUGCUUUAAAAAGAAUAAAAUUUAAACUGUCACAAUCAAGCUGUAUUUGUAAUUUUGUAAUGUCCUCGCUAUAUAGAUAAUCCUUGUUCAGACCAAUCAUUAGAAAACAGAAUUAGCUUCUUCUUUUUGUAACAGUUGUUAUAAAGAAGUUCAAACUAUUUCACCUAGUACAAAUGAAGUAAUGUUGAAAAAUAAAAUAAAAGUUGAGACGGCGGAAGAUUAAAAUCGAUAAUUUAUUCAAUUUUCUCAAGAUCUUAACAAACAAAGGAUUUAUGGAUGAAGAAUUUAAUAAUUUCAUAACAAAUAAUUUUGAUGUUAAAUUUUAAGCUUGCCAGAUCCAUCUUCAAUCACUAGCUGGACAUCAUCUGUAAAUGCAGAACCAGGGUUUUUCCAAGAAGUUCUUCGAUUACAUGAAAAAUGUUUUUUAGCUGAUGUCUUAGAAUUGUUCAAUCAUCUUAAAUCUCCUGAAUUUAAAAACAGUCAAGUCAAAUAAUUUAUUAUUUUACUAUAAUUAUUUCUCUAAUUUGUUAAAUAUUCCACUAGUAGGCCAAAAAGCAAUCAUCAUUUUAAGAACAAUUGACUAGAUAUUUGAUUUUUUGAAUUCUCAAAAUCCAUUCUAUGAAAGAUUUAAAAGGCCAAUGGAUUUAAAUUUAUUUGAAUGACAUAAAAAAACGAAAAUCUUUUAUUCUUCCUUCACUAGAAAAUUUGUUAAAAUUGAUUGAUGUUAAAGUCACACUUUUUUUUCUACUCCCAGAAAGACCUUUAUGAUUGAUAAAGUGAUAAACAAUUCAACUAUUCAAUAAUGUUUUUUUUAUUUAUUGCUAUCAUAUGAAUAAUUUUUAACAAAAUUUUUUUAUUGGUUAUUAGGUUUUGUAGUUGCUGUUAAAUCAAUUUUUAGUAUUGCCCAUGAACUCUGUGAAACUUCUAAGUACAAAUAUUUACUCACAUACAAAUUUUCCCAAAAUCACAUUGAAUUAUUUUUUUCAAAAAUUCGACAACGUUUUGAAAAUAACAAUCCUAACAUAAUAGAGUUUAAAAUAGCAAUGAAAUAAUUAUUACUUAAAAAUUCAGAUUCAUUGUCUUAUGUUGCUAACUGCAUUGUUAUGGACAGUGUAAAUACUGAAAGUAUUUUUGAAAUUCAUUAGGCUAAAAAAAAAAAAGAA
Molecule: long non-coding RNA, 3207 nt
Organism: Aphis gossypii (cotton aphid)
Lineage: Eukaryota; Metazoa; Arthropoda; Insecta; Hemiptera; Aphididae
Exons: 7
Source: RefSeq, a predicted model, not a curated record